This 340-nucleotide RNase P RNA is filed under the name Candidatus Thorarchaeota archaeon. RNAcentral describes it as "RNase P RNA component". It matches the Rfam family "Archaeal RNase P". From Rfam's summary of the family: Ribonuclease P (RNase P) is a ubiquitous endoribonuclease, found in archaea, bacteria and eukarya as well as chloroplasts and mitochondria. The record is from RNAcentral. Lineage: Archaea; Promethearchaeati; Candidatus Thorarchaeota.
UGGAGCAAGAGCGCGACUGACGGUACUCAUCUACGGGAUGAGAGCUGAGGAAGCUCCCAACUACGUGUCGACGCCGGUCCUGUGUGAACAGGGAGGUGAGAACCUCGCUCUGGGAACAGAAACGACACCCCCGAGCUAGAGAUGACAAGGAAACAGCGUUUGAAGCUGUUGAGGACUAGCUCGGACCGGAUGAAACGGCCCAUCACCGGGUAGCAACUCCAAGAAUACACCUGCGAUGUGUCGGCCUGAGGUGUAGGGUAGGAGGCUUAGUCUGAUGUCGCAAAGCUCCUUUCUGGUAACAGAUUGGAGCAGAACAGAAUUGGGGCUACUCCUUGCACCA